CCUACGGGUGGCAGCAGUCGAGAAUCAUUCACAAUGGGGGAAACCCUGAUGGUGCGACGCCGCGUGGGUGAAUGAAGGUCUUCGGAUUGUAAACCCCUGUCAUGUGGGAGCAAAUUAAAAAGAUAGUACCACAAGAGGAAGAGACGGCUAACUCUGUGCCAGCAGCCGCGGUAAUACAGAGGUCUCAAGCGUUGUUCGGAAUCACUGGGCGUAAGGCGUGCGUAGGCUGUUUCGUAAGUCGUGUGUGAAAUGCGCGGGCUCAACCCGCGGACGGCACAUGAUACUGCGAGACUAGAGUAAUGGAGGGGGAACCGGAAUUCUCGGUGUAGCAGUGAAAUGCGUAGAUAUCGAGAGGAACACUCGUGGCGAAGGCGGGUUCCUGGACAUUAACUGACGCUGAGGCACGAAGGCCAGGGGAGCGAAAGGGAUUAGAUACCCUGGUAGUC
This 446-nucleotide ribosomal RNA is filed under the name uncultured bacterium. Its description in RNAcentral is "partial 16S ribosomal RNA". It matches the Rfam family "Bacterial small subunit ribosomal RNA", at positions 338 to 795 of the family's 1533-position model. The record is from RNAcentral.